Long non-coding RNA from Cavia porcellus (domestic guinea pig), 2091 nucleotides. RefSeq lists it as uncharacterized. The record is from RefSeq and is a predicted model, not a curated record. Lineage: Eukaryota; Metazoa; Chordata; Mammalia; Rodentia; Caviidae. The transcript is spliced from 3 exons.
AGGUGGAAUCUGAAUGCACAAGGAUCCACUCCAUCCAGCCUGGGCCAGAGCCUUGCAAGGCAAGGAGCAUGAGCUGACGCUGGGUCCAGCCAGCAGGGGGGUCUCCCAGGGUCAGGGAGCUGGAGCAACCACUGCUGAGCGCGACCCAGCAGGAUGAAUUCAGAAUCUUCCCCCAGCCGCCACCCCACCCCCGCUUCCUUUUGGUGGCUGUGGCGUGGAGAAGCCAUUUUCACGUGUAAGCUGCACCCUUCCUCCGACAGCGACCCCUGGGAGCUUUGCUUCCCCAGACUUGGCUGUGACGGAGUUGAGCCCAAGAGCAUCAAAGCAGUCCAGUGAACUCCCCUUUGGAAGCAUCCAGAGUAUAUUUGUGAAACCAGGCUCUGUACAGGGAAGACUGAAGCUAGACCCAAGCGAGAAAUUCCCAACUGCUUGCAGGGUUUUUGUUUCUGUUGUUUUAAAAUAAUCAUUAUGUUAAACUGACAUAUUGAAUGAAAAUUGUUGUAGAUUGGAAUCAUUCAUCAAGGAAGAAAUUGUGGAAUUCCCCUGCCUCUGUGACUGGGAAAGGAGGGCAAUCCUGAUUGGAGGCAGUCAGAAGGCUGGUGACCUGGCAUGUCCGAAGCCGAGAGAGGCGAUUGGCACUGGGCCCUGGCCACAGCUAGCCAAGGGAGGCUGCGGGGAAAUCACUUUCCUGAUUGCUGUGCAUCAAGCUGCUCUGUACCUGAGCUUGCAAAGAUUGUACCUCAACAGAGAGUUCCAGAUACACAGCCGUACAGCUGCUGCACCUGUCCACUGUCUGAGCAGCCUUCGUUCAGGGGCUUACUCUGGUCUCCUGCGUGCUGCAGGCAUAGUGGGCUAUAGUGGAGGCACUGGAGACUAGAGGGGAGAUCCAGGAGGAACAGGUGAGCCAAGGGAGAUGAAGUGUUCUUGGCAGAACAGGGAGAAGUCGUUCAGAGCCCAGGGAGCUCACACCCGCUGUUGCUGGCAGAGGUAAGGAAAGCCAUGCUAAGCUGUGCCGAGACUUGUGCGGGCUGUGGUGUGGGGUGGCUGUUAUCUCUCUAGGCUAGGCCAGCAACACUCAGCCUCAUAGACACACCCACAGCAGUGGCGCCCACCACCUUCCCAUUAGGAUCCUGACAUUUCCAUGAACAGAAUAGAUCCGGCUUACUAAAAAAAAAUGGGAUUAAGGCCUGGAGCAGGUGUUGGUGUUGGCUCUUUCUGUGUCUCUCAGGCCUAAUCAUGUGCUCAAAACCCAGUCUUCUUCCCUCAUUCUGGGGAUCCAGCCUAGGGCCUCGAGAAUGCUAGGCAAGUGCUCUGUUAUGGAGCCACCCCAUGGCCCUUCUCUGUCCCACCAGGAAAAAGGCCUCUUUUCUCUUCGCCCCUAUGGACUCAUUGCCCAUUGCUUAUUCAGCCUCAUGUAAAGUUAUGUGCAUGUGACUGAGAUGAAAGGCUCUGGAAGGUUUUCCCAUACUUAAUGUACCUCCUAGGCAGGGGGGUUGGUUGAAGAUGGGGGGCAGAGAGAGAGGAGGACUCUCCUCGCUCAUGAAUGGGAGUGAGGUGGGUUGCAUUAGCUGGAAUGAACAGUCGCAUUCCCCAUCAGUGCCUUAGUGGCCUGGAGACCUGAGCCUUCAAAUCUUCUUUACGCCCACACAUAGCUGCAGGGAAGUAUGCCCCAACACUUGGGCCCAAGCAAUCCCACUCCUGUGGAGUUCUCCUUCUACCCAGCUCUUCCUCCAACCCCUCCUCCCUGCAUUCAACAAUCCAUGAGCCUGCCUGGGCCCCACUGCCCAAGAGUUUGCUUAAUCAAGAUUUAUGAGCCACCUAGUGAGGUGCUAGAUUUUGCUCUCCUCUCCCAUCCUCUUCAUGCUCAUAGGACGCCAACCUCUAAUGCUUGCUGAUCCUUCCUGCCUACAUUCACCACUCCAUGGCAAGCCCCAACUGAGUCAUGGGGCAGCCAGAACAUUUCAGGAUCCUCUACAAGCACUAAACACCAAGAUGCUCCUUCACUUCUUUUCUGGUGACUUUCUCACAUGACGAAGCUCAAUGGGGACGUGUUUCUCCUAUAUGGUCUAAAUAAUAACUUUUCCAAGUCAA